This 442-nucleotide ribosomal RNA is filed under the name uncultured bacterium. RNAcentral describes it as "bacterial SSU rRNA". It matches the Rfam family "Bacterial small subunit ribosomal RNA", at positions 958 to 1399 of the family's 1533-position model. The record is from RNAcentral.
AACGCGAAGAACCUUACCUGGGCUCGAAAUAUAGAGGACGAUAUCAGAGAUGAUAUUUCUCGAAAGGGUCUUUAUAUAGGUGCUGCAUGGCUGUCGUCAGCUCGUGCCGUGAGGUGUUUGGUUAAGUCCAGCAACGAGCGCAACCCUUAUCGUUAGUUGCCAACGCGUAAAGGCGGGAACUCUAACGAGACUGCCUGGGUUAACCAGGAGGAAGGUGAGGAUGACGUCAAGUCCGCAUGGCCUUUAUGUCCAGGGCUACACACGUGCUACAAUGGUCGGUACAGAAGGCAGCGAAACCGUAAGGCGAAGCAAAUCCUGAAAAACCGAUCUCAGUUCAGAUUGUAGACUGCAACUCGUCUACAUGAAGUUGGAAUUGCUAGUAAUGGCGUGUCAGCAACAACGCCGUGAAUACGUUCCCGGGCCUUGUACACACCGACUGUAC